CGUUGACUAACUUGGUUGGCCCCGCGUAUUCUUGGGACAUAACACAUAUAUAAGACUGUUAUUGCUUGAGAAUACACGUAGUUAACAAGUUUAAACUUAC
Molecule: microRNA precursor, 100 nt
Filed under: Cinara cedri
Lineage: Eukaryota; Metazoa; Arthropoda; Insecta; Hemiptera; Aphididae
Rfam family: mir-137 microRNA precursor family (bases 15-86)
Source: RNAcentral